GACGUAGGAUGCAAGCGUUGUCCGGAAUUAUUGGGCGUAAAGAGUUCGUAGGUGGUAUGUCAAGUCUGGUGUUAAAUCCCGAAGCUCAACUUCGGAUCGGCACUGGAUACUGACAAACUAGAGUGCAGUAGAGGCAAGGGGAAUUCCUAGUGUAGCGGUGAAAUGCGUAGAUAUUAGGAGGAACACCGGUGGCGUAAGCGCCUUGCUGGGCUGUAACUGACGCUGAGGAACGAAAGCCAGGGGAGCAAAUGGG
Molecule: ribosomal RNA, 253 nt
Filed under: uncultured bacterium
Lineage: Bacteria
Description: partial 16S ribosomal RNA
Rfam family: Bacterial small subunit ribosomal RNA
Source: RNAcentral